Molecule: ribosomal RNA, 3010 nt
Filed under: Salmonella enterica subsp. enterica serovar Thompson
Lineage: Bacteria; Pseudomonadati; Pseudomonadota; Gammaproteobacteria; Enterobacterales; Enterobacteriaceae
Description: bacterial LSU rRNA
Rfam family: Bacterial large subunit ribosomal RNA
Source: RNAcentral
GGGUUGUGAGGUUAAGCGACUAAGCGUACACGGUGGAUGCCCUGGCAGUCAGAGGCGAUGAAGGGCGUGCUAAUCUGCGAUAAGCGCCGGUAAGGUGAUAUGAACCGUUAUAACCGGCGAUACCCGAAUGGGGAAACCCAGUGUGACUCGUCACACUAUCAUUAACUGAAUCCAUAGGUUAAUGAGGCGAACCGGGGGAACUGAAACAUCUAAGUACCCCGAGGAAAAGAAAUCAACCGAGAUUCCCCCAGUAGCGGCGAGCGAACGGGGAGGAGCCCAGAGCCUGAAUCAGCAUGUGUGUUAGUGGAAGCGUCUGGAAAGGCGCGCGAUACAGGGUGACAGCCCCGUACACAAAAGCGCAUGUGCUGUGAGCUCGAUGAGUAGGGCGGGACACGUGGUAUCCUGUCUGAAUAUGGGGGGACCAUCCUCCAAGGCUAAAUACUCCUGACUGACCGAUAGUGAACCAGUACCGUGAGGGAAAGGCGAAAAGAACCCCGGCGAGGGGAGUGAAAAAGAACCUGAAACCGUGUACGUACAAGCAGUGGGAGCACAGGUUUACCUGUGUGACUGCGUACCUUUUGUAUAAUGGGUCAGCGACUUAUAUUCUGUAGCAAGGUUAACCGAAUAGGGGAGCCGGAGGGAAACCGAGUCUUAAUUGGGCGUUAAGUUGCAGGGUAUAGACCCGAAACCCGGUGAUCUAGCCAUGGGCAGGUUGAAGGUUGGGUAACACUAACUGGAGGACCGAACCGACUAAUGUUGAAAAAUUAGCGGAUGACCUGUGGCUGGGGGUGAAAGGCCAAUCAAACCGGGAGAUAGCUGGUUCUCCCCGAAAGCUAUUUAGGUAGCGCCUCGUGAAUUCAUCUCCGGGGGUAGAGCACUGUUUCGGCUAGGGGGCCAUCCCGGCUUACCAACCCGAUGCAAACUGCGAAUACCGGAGAAUGUUAUCACGGGAGACACACGGCGGGUGCUAACGUCCGUCGUGAAGAGGGAAACAACCCAGACCGCCAGCUAAGGUCCCAAAGUCAUGGUUAAGUGGGAAACGAUGUGGGAAGGCCCAGACAGCCAGGAUGUUGGCUUAGAAGCAGCCAUCAUUUAAAGAAAGCGUAAUAGCUCACUGGUCGAGUCGGCCUGCGCGGAAGAUGUAACGGGGCUAAACCAUGCACCGAAGCUGCGGCAGCGACACUCAGGUGUUGUUGGGUAGGGGAGCGUUCUGUAAGCCUGUGAAGGUGUGUCGUGAGGCAUGCUGGAGGUAUCAGAAGUGCGAAUGCUGACAUAAGUAACGAUAAAGCGGGUGAAAAGCCCGCUCGCCGGAAGACCAAGGGUUCCUGUCCAACGUUAAUCGGGGCAGGGUGAGUCGACCCCUAAGGCGAGGCCGAAAGGCGUAGUCGAUGGGAAACCAAGGGUUCCUGUCCAACGUUAAUCGGGGCAGGGUGAGUCGACCCCUAAGGCGAGGCCGAAAGGCGUAGUCGAUGGGAAACAGGUUAAUAUUCCCGUACUUGGUGUUACUGCGAAGGGGGGACGGAGAAGGCUAUGUUGGCCGGGCGACGGUUGUCCCGGUUUAAGCGUGUAGGUGUGUGUUCCAGGUAAAUCCGGUUCACUUUAACACUGAGGCGUGAUGACGAGGCACUACGGUGCUGAAGCAACAAAUGCCCUGCUUCCAGGAAAAGCCUCUAAGCAUCAGGUAACAUCAAAUCGUACCCCAAACCGACACAGGUGGUCAGGUAGAGAAUACCAAGGCGCUUGAGAGAACUCGGGUGAAGGAACUAGGCAAAAUGGUGCCGUAACUUCGGGAGAAGGCACGCUGACACGUAGGUGAAGUGAUUUACUCAUGGAGCUGAAGUCAGUCGAAGAUACCAGCUGGCUGCAACUGUUUAUUAAAAACACAGCACUGUGCAAACACGAAAGUGGACGUAUACGGUGUGACGCCUGCCCGGUGCCGGAAGGUUAAUUGAUGGGGUCAGCGCAAGCGAAGCUCCUGAUCGAAGCCCCGGUAAACGGCGGCCGUAACUAUAACGGUCCUAAGGUAGCGAAAUUCCUUGUCGGGUAAGUUCCGACCUGCACGAAUGGCGUAAUGAUGGCCAGGCUGUCUCCACCCGAGACUCAGUGAAAUUGAACUCGCUGUGAAGAUGCAGUGUACCCGCGGCAAGACGGAAAGACCCCGUGAACCUUUACUAUAGCUUGACACUGAACAUUGAGCCUUGAUGUGUAGGAUAGGUGGGAGGCUUUGAAGUGUGGACGCCAGUCUGCAUGGAGCCGACCUUGAAAUACCACCCUUUAAUGUUUGAUGUUCUAACGUGGACCCGUAAUCCGGGUUGCGGACAGUGUCUGGUGGGUAGUUUGACUGGGGCGGUCUCCUCCUAAAGAGUAACGGAGGAGCACGAAGGUUGGCUAAUCCUGGUCGGACAUCAGGAGGUUAGUGCAAUGGCAUAAGCCAGCUUGACUGCGAGCGUGACGGCGCGAGCAGGUGCGAAAGCAGGUCAUAGUGAUCCGGUGGUUCUGAAUGGAAGGGCCAUCGCUCAACGGAUAAAAGGUACUCCGGGGAUAACAGGCUGAUACCGCCCAAGAGUUCAUAUCGACGGCGGUGUUUGGCACCUCGAUGUCGGCUCAUCACAUCCUGGGGCUGAAGUAGGUCCCAAGGGUAUGGCUGUUCGCCAUUUAAAGUGGUACGCGAGCUGGGUUUAGAACGUCGUGAGACAGUUCGGUCCCUAUCUGCCGUGGGCGCUGGAGAACUGAGGGGGGCUGCUCCUAGUACGAGAGGACCGGAGUGGACGCAUCACUGGUGUUCGGGUUGUCAUGCCAAUGGCACUGCCCGGUAGCUAAAUGCGGAAGAGAUAAGUGCUGAAAGCAUCUAAGCACGAAACUUGCCCCGAGAUGAGUUCUCCCUGAGACUUAGAGUCUCCUGAAGGAACGUUGAAGACGACGACGUUGAUAGGCCGGGUGUGUAAGCGCAGCGAUGCGUUGAGCUAACCGGUACUAAUGAACCGUGAGGCUUAACCUUACAACGCCGAAG